This is a non-coding RNA of Felis catus (domestic cat), 81 nucleotides long. Lineage: Eukaryota; Metazoa; Chordata; Mammalia; Carnivora; Felidae. The record is from Rfam.
GCCUGGGUGGCUCAGUCGGUUGAGCAUCCGACUUAGGCUCAGGUCAUGAUCUCACCGUGAGUUCAAGCCCCAUGUCGGGCU